ACUCCUACGGGAGGCAGCAGUGGGGAAUAUUGCACAAUGGGCGGAAGCCUGAUGCAGCAACGCCGCGUGCGGGAUGACGGCCUUCGGGUUGUAAACCGCUUUCAUCCAUGACGAAGCUUUUUGUGACGGUAGUGGGAGAAGAAGCACCGGCUAACUACGUGCCAGCAGCCGCGGUGAUACGUAGGGUGCGAGCGUUGUCCGGAUUUAUUGGGCGUAAAGAGCUUGUAGGCGGUUUGUCGCGUCGGGAGUGAAAACUCAGGGCUUAACUCUGAGCUUGCUUUCGAUACGGGCUGACUUGAGGAAGGUAGGGGAGAAUGGAAUUCCUGGUGAAGCGGUGGAAUGCGUAGAUAUCAGGAGGAACACCGGUGGCGAAGGCGGUUCUCUGGACCUUUCCUGACGCUGAGAAGCGAAAGCGUGGGGAGCAAACAGGAUUAGAUACCCUGGUAGGCUCU
Molecule: ribosomal RNA, 452 nt
Filed under: uncultured bacterium
Lineage: Bacteria
Description: bacterial SSU rRNA
Rfam family: Bacterial small subunit ribosomal RNA
Source: RNAcentral